This is a long non-coding RNA of Hippocampus zosterae (dwarf seahorse), 388 nucleotides long. RefSeq lists it as uncharacterized. The record is from RefSeq and is a predicted model, not a curated record. NCBI's taxonomy places the organism in Eukaryota, Metazoa, Chordata, Actinopteri, Syngnathiformes, Syngnathidae. The transcript has 3 exons.
GGGGCAUGUGAAAAGGGAGGGCCACCCAAAUGGGGAUUAAGGAAUGGAUCCCGCUAUGGAAUUUAAGUCCGCCCAGAGUGUCAAGAUUUCAUUCAGCGUCAUCACAGAAGACUGAUAAAUGACCCUGUAAAGACAAAGACAAUUUUUUUGCUUCACAAACCAAAUAUUUCAUAAUUUGCUCUCAUUUGAUGUGAUCCUACCCUUGGACAUCGCCCUCCACAUUUGCAUGUGCGUUUAUCUGCUGCUGCACGGUUAUAGCGGCUUUCUCCAAGACCGCCAGGAGGUGGACAACAGCAGCCAGCUCAGUCAGAGUGCUGAAGGUGUCAGAGUCCAGCGAGGAGAGAACCUCAGCCAAAAAAGCCCUGAAGGCAACACGCAAGCACCAUUG